Long non-coding RNA from Mustela erminea (ermine), 652 nucleotides. RefSeq lists it as uncharacterized. Lineage: Eukaryota; Metazoa; Chordata; Mammalia; Carnivora; Mustelidae. The record is from RefSeq and is a predicted model, not a curated record. The transcript is spliced from 5 exons.
CAGGAGACCUGAGGGCCUGGGUCUCUUGACCUGGGCAGCUGCUCAGAAACCAAACAAGAGCCAUUGAUCCUGCAGGAACCGCAUCGGGCGCACGGAGGUGGAGAAAGCCCUGAGCGAACAUCCGGCGUGGCAGGAUCAGCUGUGAGGAGCAGCCAGGACCUGAUUCGAAGGAGGUAAGGAGGACACAGAGGUCCUUGUGUCUGUCCGUGGGCACUAGUGCAGGGGAGACAUUCAAAUCUAGGCUAUCAAGUGUGCUGGGAGGAAAAUGGUAGAAAUUCUGGACCUUGUCUCCUGGACAAUGUACAUAUCUUUCCCAUAUUAGGAAGCUAGAAGAGACACUUUAUGAACUGGAUGCAACCAAGAAUGAGCUGUCAGCUGCCGAAGAUAAUCUGAAGGUGACCAAAGAAGAAAUGUACAAGUAUAAGUAAAGAAAAAUGAUUAAGGAAAGGCUGUAACAAUAGCUUUGAUCCUACUGUCCACUUAUAAUCCGACAAGUGGAAGACAUGCAAGAUCAGCUGCAGAAGUCUAAGUUCACCUUCAAUCACCAAAUCGCAGUGCAGGAGAGGAAUGCUGUGGCUAACUGGGUAAGUGUUUUCCUUUUCCUCGUCUUCUCUUGGGGCACAGUCUGGCACAACCGAUGAUGGGUGUGUUU